Molecule: ribosomal RNA, 1284 nt
Filed under: Pseudogymnoascus sp. VKM F-3557
Lineage: Eukaryota; Fungi; Ascomycota; Leotiomycetes; Thelebolales; Thelebolaceae
Description: SSU rRNA
Rfam family: Eukaryotic small subunit ribosomal RNA
Source: RNAcentral
CCUGGUUGAUUCUGCCAGUAGUCAUAUGCUUGUCUCAAAGAUUAAGCCAUGCAUGUCUAAGUAUAAGCAAUCUAUACAGUGAAACUGCGAAUGGCUCAUUAAAUCAGUUAUCGUUUAUUUGAUAGUACCUUACUACUUGGAUAACCGUGGUAAUUCUAGAGCUAAUACAUGCUAAAAACCCCGACUUCGGAAGGGGUGUAUUUAUUAGAUAAAAAACCAAUGCUCUUCGGGGCUCCUUGGUGAUUCAUAAUAACUUAACGAAUCGCAUGGCCUUGUGCCGGCGAUGGUUCAUUCAAAUUUCUGCCCUAUCAACUUUCGAUGGUAGGAUAGUGGCCUACCAUGGUUUCAACGGGUAACGGGGAAUUAGGGUUCUAUUCCGGAGAGGGAGCCUGAGAAACGGCUACCACAUCCAAGGAAGGCAGCAGGCGCGCAAAUUACCCAAUCCCGACACGGGGAGGUAGUGACAAUAAAUACUGAUACAGGGCUCUUUUGAGUCUUGUAAUUGGAAUGAGUACAAUUUAAAUCCCUUAACGAGGAACAAUUGGAGGGCAAGUCUGGUGCCAGCAGCCGCGGUAAUUCCAGCUCCAAUAGCGUAUAUUAAAGUUGUUGCAGUUAAAAAGCUCGUAGUUGAACCUUGGGCCUGGCUGGCCGGUCCGCCUCACCGCGUGCACUGGUCCGGCCGGGCCUUUCCUCCUGGGGAGCCGCAUGCCCUUCACUGGGUGUGUCGGGGAACCAGGACUUUUACUUUGAAAAAAUUAGAGUGUUCAAAGCAGGCCUAUGCUCGAAUACAUUAGCAUGGAAUAAUAGAAUAGGACGUGUGGUUCUAUUUUGUUGGUUUCUAGGACCGCCGUAAUGAUUAAUAGGGAUAGUCGGGGGCAUCAGUAUUCAAUUGUCAGAGGUGAAAUUCUUGGAUUUAUUGAAGACUAACUACUGCGAAAGCAUUUGCCAAGGAUGUUUUCAUUAAUCAGUGAACGAAAGUUAGGGGAUCGAAGACGAUCAGAUACCGUCGUAGUCUUAACCAUAAACUAUGCCGACUAGGGAUCGGGCGAUGUUAUCUUUUUGACUCGCUCGGCACCUUACGAGAAAUCAAAGUUUUUGGGUUCUGGGGGGAGUAUGGUCGCAAGGCUGAAACUUAAAGAAAUUGACGGAAGGGCACCACCAGGAGUGGAGCCUGCGGCUUAAUUUGACUCAACACGGGGAAACUCACCAGGUCCAGACACAAUAAGGAUUGACAGAUUGAGAGCUCUUUCUUGAUUUUGUGGGUGGUGGUGCAUGGCCGUUCUU